Molecule: ribosomal RNA, 255 nt
Filed under: uncultured bacterium
Lineage: Bacteria
Description: partial 16S ribosomal RNA
Rfam family: Bacterial small subunit ribosomal RNA
Source: RNAcentral
UAUGGCCUACGGGGCGCAGCAGUGAGGAAUAUUGGUCAAUGGGCGCGAGCCUGAACCAGCCAAGUAGCGUGAAGGAUGACUGCCCUACGGGUUGUAAACUUCUUUUAUAAAGGAAUAAAGUGAGGUACGUGUGCCUUUUUGUAUGUACUUUAUGAAUAAGGAUCGGCUAACUCCGUGCCAGCAGCCGCGGUAAUACGGAGGAUCCGAGCGUUAUCCGGAUUUAUUGGGUUUAAAGGGUGCGUAGAUGGGUUGUUA